GAUGAACGCUGGCGGCGUGCCUAAUACAUGCAAGUCGAGCGAACAGAUAAGGAGCUUGCUCCUUUGACGUUAGCGGCGGACGGGUGAGUAACACGUGGAUAACCUACCUAUAAGACUGGGAUAACUUCGGGAAACCGGAGCUAAUACCGGAUAACAUAUUGAACCGCAUGGUUCAAUAGUGAAAGGCGGCUUUGCUGUCACUUAUAGAUGGAUCCGCGCCGUAUUAGCUAGUUGGUAAGGUAACGGCUUACCAAGGCAACGAUACGUAGCCGACCUG
This 277-nucleotide ribosomal RNA is filed under the name uncultured bacterium. RNAcentral's name for it is "partial 16S ribosomal RNA". It matches the Rfam family "Bacterial small subunit ribosomal RNA", at positions 28 to 294 of the family's 1533-position model. The record is from RNAcentral.